UACGUAGGGUGCAAGCGUUGUCCGGAAUUAUUGGGCGUAAAGAGCGUGUAGGCGGCCAGGUAGGUCGGUUGUGAAAACUGGAGGCUCAACCUUCAGAGGUCGACCGAAACCAUCUGGCUAGAGUCCGGGAGAGGAGAGUGGAAUUCCUGGUGUAGCGGUGAAAUGCGCAGAUAUCAGGAAGAACACCCGUGGCGAAAGCGGCUCUCUGGAACGGUACUGACGCUGAGACGCGAAAGCGUGGGGAGCGAACGGG
RNAcentral lists this ribosomal RNA (253 nucleotides) under uncultured bacterium. RNAcentral's name for it is "partial 16S ribosomal RNA". It matches the Rfam family "Bacterial small subunit ribosomal RNA", at positions 524 to 776 of the family's 1533-position model. The record is from RNAcentral.